Molecule: ribosomal RNA, 498 nt
Filed under: uncultured bacterium
Lineage: Bacteria
Description: partial 16S ribosomal RNA
Rfam family: Bacterial small subunit ribosomal RNA
Source: RNAcentral
AUUGAACGCUGGCGGCAUGCCUUACACAUGCAAGUCGAACGGUAACAGGUCUUCGGAUGCUGACGAGUGGCGAACGGGUGAGUAAUACAUCGGAACGUGCCUAGUAGUGGGGGAUAACUACUCGAAAGAGUGGCUAAUACCGCAUGAGAUCUACGGAUGAAAGCAGGGGAUCGCAAGACCUUGUGCUACUAGAGCGGCCGAUGGCAGAUUAGGUAGUUGGUGGGAUAAGAGCUUACCAAGCCGACGAUCUGUAGCUGGUCUGAGAGGACGAUCAGCCACACUGGGACUGAGACACGGCCCAGACUCCUACGGGAGGCAGCAGUGGGGAAUUUUGGACAAUGGGCGCAGGCCUGAUCCAGCAAUGCCGCGUGCAGGAUGAAGGCCUUCGGGUUGUAAACUGCUUUUGUACGGAACGAAAAGCCCCGGGUUAAUACCCUGGGGUCAUGACGGUACCGUAAGAAUAAGCACCGGCUAACUACGUGCCAGCAGCAGCCGCCG